Molecule: ribosomal RNA, 474 nt
Filed under: Triticum aestivum (bread wheat)
Lineage: Eukaryota; Viridiplantae; Streptophyta; Magnoliopsida; Poales; Poaceae
Description: partial small subunit ribosomal RNA
Source: RNAcentral
ACGCCGCCCUCGCGUGGGCGUGUCGGCGGCGAACAGGGUGUCCCCCAAGAACCGGUCGUGGGCCAAGAAGACGGUGAUGUCCCAUGCAGACGUCGCACAAGUUCCUGGUGGCAGCAUGAUGAGUGGGCUCAAGCAGCGACCCGGCGUCAGCUUGACGGCGUGGACUGUCAGGAUAUCAUCCUGAUGCGUGGUGAUCAAUUCAGUCAUGGACGGAGAAAAGAUCCAAAUUCGUUGAUGGAGUUAGAGCUUCCCUACAGCAGAGUCUUAGGUGGAUGCAGCUGCUGGUCACACUUUAACCACACGUCAAUUGCACGAGUGGUGUGCCAUGAUGUUAAGAAGUUCAGUGUAGGCAGGAGAAAAAAAUCUUGGAGGGUGAUUUGUAGUCAUUUUCCUAUUGUGUAUGCUCUGUUCUACAUGUUCAGAUUGUCCUUUAGCAGCAAUAGAAUGUCAUGUUUAAUAAUCCUCCAGCAGAGU